GCCCGAUUAGCUCAGCUGGUUAGAGCGUCGUACUAAUAUCAUUCCAUCCUGGUGGAGUCAUAUUUGGUAUAUGCGAAGGUCAACAGUUCAAUCCUGUUAUUGGGCA
Non-coding RNA from Cladorrhinum sp. PSN332, 106 nucleotides. NCBI's taxonomy places the organism in Eukaryota, Fungi, Ascomycota, Sordariomycetes, Sordariales, Podosporaceae. The record is from the annotation of a GenBank genome assembly.